GCGACUCGCCGAAUGAGUUUCUGACCUAUCAACUCGAGACGGCGGGGUAGAGGCCCCGCCGCGGUAACGACGGGUAACGGGGAAUCAGGGUUCGAUUCCGGAGAGGGGAGCCCGAGAAACGGCUACCACUUCCAAGGAAGGCAGCAGGCGCGCAACUUACCCUAAUCUCGAUUCGAGGAGGUAGUGACAAGAAAUACCGAUGCGGGACCCUACGGGUGCCGCGUUCGGAAUGAGUACGAUUCGAACCACCUAACGAGGAACGAUCGGAGGGCAAGUCUGGUGCCAGCAGCCGCGGUAAUUCCAGCUCCAAUAGCGUACGUUAAAGUUGCUGCAGUUAAAAAGCUCGUAGUUGAACGUUCGGGUUCCGCGGGACGGGGCCGCCCCGCGAGGGACGGCGCCGCCCCGGGGCUCGUCGAUAUCUCAUCUCGCCGCCCGUCGCGAGGCGGACGGACGGGAGUGGA
This 461-nucleotide ribosomal RNA is filed under the name uncultured eukaryote. Its description in RNAcentral is "bacterial SSU rRNA". It matches the Rfam family "Eukaryotic small subunit ribosomal RNA", at positions 287 to 745 of the family's 1831-position model. The record is from RNAcentral.